This 475-nucleotide ribosomal RNA is filed under the name uncultured bacterium. RNAcentral's name for it is "SSU rRNA". It matches the Rfam family "Bacterial small subunit ribosomal RNA", at positions 26 to 518 of the family's 1533-position model. The record is from RNAcentral.
AGGGCGAACGCUGGCGGCGUGCUUAACACAUGCAAGUCGAGCGGAAAGGCCCUUCGGGGUACUCGAGCGGCGAACGGGUGAGUAACACGUGAGCAACCUGCCCUUAGCUUCGGGAUAGCUCCGGGAAACCGGAAUUAAUACCGAAUAUGACUGCGGCUGACAUCAGCCACGGUGGAAAGUUUUUCGGCUAGGGAUGGACUCGCGGCCUAUCAGCUAGUUGGCGGGGUAAUGGCCCACCAAGGCAAUGAUCGGUAGCCGGCCUGAGAGGGGCGCGACGGACCGACGACCUGGAACUGAAACACGGUCCAGACUCCUACGGGAGGCAGCAGUGGGGAAUUUUGCGCAAUGGGGGAAACCCUGACGCAGCAACGCCGCGUGGAGGAUGAAGCCCCUUGGGGUGUAAACUCCUUUCGAUCGGGACGAUUAUGACGGUACCGGAUGAAGAAGCACCGGCUAACUCUGUGCCAGCAGCCGC